GCCAGUAGAGGCACUCAUCUGUCUCGUGACAGAAGAUCCCAAACAUGGUGAUGUUGUGGGACUCUGUCACGCGGCCUCGAUGAUAUUUUCUUCUCAUGGCGAACGUUUCAUCGACCUGGGGACGGAAAAAGAACAAGGCGUAAGUCUAGGUUCGAUUACCGGCUUGAGGAGGUUGAACGGCAACCUUACUUCUACAGUUUUCCCCGGCCGCCCAUCUUCAUUUGCAUGUAUCGCACAUGCAUCUGCGCCACUUCCCGGAAAAAGCUGUAAAAGUCGACACUGUCCUGCGGGCAACCUCACACUCGACGUCUACCGUGAUGAGUGGCAGCUUAGUCACCCAAGCCAUUAUUAGGCGACGACCUGAAAAUAUAAGGACGUAGCACAGUUAGUUAGAGGUCGGGAAGCAUCUACGCUGCACGGAGGGCCGAGGGGCCCAGCGACGCAGCGUACCCGUGUGCAACCGGAGCACGCAGGCCAAACGUUGCGCCGUGAUGAAGGCUGGAGGAGUUCCUUACCUUAACGAACGGUAGGCGGACACGUUCCAAAAAAGUAUUCGAUAGGGGAGAUGUCGAGCCGCUGUAUCGCUCCCUCCUCAUUUUCUUCUUUGGGGCCGGCGAUGUUGGUGCCGGCCGAGGCUGAGUGUUGCAGCACCUAUAUGUGGAUUGCAGCGGGUUGUCCCGGGAAGUCUUCGGUCGCAUCGGGCCUAAGGGGAAAAAGGAGAACAAUCGUUGUGCUCCCUAUAGACGUCUGGGCGUGGAAUACGCUGGCAAGUGUCGGGAAUCAAGUCUUGCCCUGCUGGAGACUCGAUUCCCGGCACUGCGGGCACUUACUUUGGCAUUUCGGCCAGGGAGGCGGCACGGUGGAAUCGCGGUCCGGUAGUAGGCCGACAGCCGCGCAUAGUUCCGCCGUCCGACCCUCGCUGGAAAACGCCUGCGCGAAGAUAAAGAUUGUAACGGCGGCGAUAACGGCCGAGACGUUCCCGGGACGCCGACGAUGACGGCUGUCCGGCUGGAUGCGGUGAUGGUCACGUGACGGUGUCGGUAUAUCCGAUUGCUCCAUGGCACAUGCAAGAAGAACGUUGGAGAAGC
This 1088-nucleotide long non-coding RNA is filed under the name Androctonus crassicauda. The record is from RNAcentral. Lineage: Eukaryota; Metazoa; Arthropoda; Arachnida; Scorpiones; Buthidae.